AACGAACGCUGGCGGCAUGCCUAACACAUGCAAGUCGAACGAGACCUUCGGGUCUAGUGGCGCACGGGUGCGUAACGCGUGGGAUCCUGCCCUUAGGUUCGGAAUAACUCCCCGAAAGGGGUGCUAAUACCGGAUAAUGUCUUCGGACCAAAGAUUUAUCGCCUUUGGAUGGGCCCGCGUUGGAUUAGCUAGUUGGUAGGGUAAAAGCCUACCAAGGCGACGAUCCAUAGCUGGUCUGAGAGGAUGAUCAGCCACACUGGGACUGGGACACGGCCCAGACUCCUACGGGAGGCAGCAGUGGGGAAUAUGGGACGAUGGGCGAGAGCCUGAUCCAGCAAGGCCGCGUGAGUGAUGAAGGCCUUAGGGUUGUAAAGCUCUUUUACCCGGGAUGAUAAGGACAGUACCGGGAGAAUAAGCUCCGGCUAACUCCGG
Molecule: ribosomal RNA, 432 nt
Filed under: uncultured bacterium
Lineage: Bacteria
Description: partial 16S ribosomal RNA
Rfam family: Bacterial small subunit ribosomal RNA
Source: RNAcentral